Molecule: transfer RNA, 77 nt
Filed under: Actinomycetes bacterium
Lineage: Bacteria; Bacillati; Actinomycetota; Actinomycetes
Also listed under: 6 other names
Description: tRNA-Asp(gtc)
Rfam family: tRNA
About the family: Transfer RNA (tRNA) molecules are approximately 80 nucleotides in length. Their secondary structure includes four short double-helical elements and three loops (D, anti-codon, and T loops). Further hydrogen bonds mediate the characteristic L-shaped molecular structure. tRNAs have two regions of fundamental functional importance: the anti-codon, which is responsible for specific mRNA codon recognition, and the 3' end, to which the tRNAs corresponding amino acid is attached (by aminoacyl-tRNA synthetases). tRNAs cope with the degeneracy of the genetic code in two manners: having more than one tRNA (with a specific anti-codon) for a particular amino acid; and 'wobble' base-pairing, i.e. permitting non-standard base-pairing at the 3rd anti-codon position.
Source: RNAcentral
GGGGUGUUAGCUCAGUUGGUUAGAGCGCCGGCCUGUCACGUCGGAGGUCGAGGGUUCAAGUCCCUUACAUCCCGCCA